GGACGUGAGGUCAAUCUGGCUGCCUCCUCCGUUCCCUCAUGCGUCACCAGGAUUGAUUCCAUCCCCUUCCUCCCUCACAGCCUCGUGUGUAUCCAUCCCAAAGGUUGAAAAAGGACAGCCUUACCCCCAAAGAGAGAAUUCAUUCGUUCAGUCAAGGUAUAGAGUAGCUGUACUUCCUUCUAAAACCCCCAAACAAGCCCUCUGGGUUGCAAUUCGUGUCCUACAAGGGAGAAAAGUACUUAGUCUGAGAAGGG
This 254-nucleotide small nuclear RNA is filed under the name Mus pahari (shrew mouse). RNAcentral's name for it is "sRNA (MGP_PahariEiJ_G0008033.1)". It matches the Rfam family "7SK RNA". From Rfam's summary of the family: 7SK was discovered as an abundant small nuclear RNA in the mid-70s but a possible function has only recently been suggested. The record is from RNAcentral. Lineage: Eukaryota; Metazoa; Chordata; Mammalia; Rodentia; Muridae.